GGGCAGCCGCGGGCCGAGCGGGACGCCGAGCUGGAGCUGGGCGGACGCGGCGGGCGGCGGCGGGACUGAGGCUGCGGCUUUCCAAACGGAAGCGGAAUUAUUCCAAGCAUUUGAGGCAGCUCACGCUCGCCUUUCCCUUCCCUCGCUCCCUCCCUCGCGCCGCCCUCCGCCCUGGAAGGAGCUGUGCGCUGGGGCCCGCACCCCGGCCCGGCCUGCGCCCCUAGGCUGGCCGAGGAUCCCCUGAAUCUGCCCCAUGCCGCAGGACAUGUGGCCUUAUCAGUUUGGGUGUAUGUGUAACUCUCCUGGCUGGAAGUGCUGGAACCUAGAAGACUGCACCCAGCACACAUCCUAGCACAAACCAGGAUCUGAACCAAACCAACUCUGUUACUCUGUCUCCCAGCUGCUUGGAGGCGCUUGUUUGCUUCUUAUAAAAUUAGCCCAAGUCUUGACUUAAUGAAACAAAGCCAGCUAGGUCCUGGAGAAAUAUCUGGAGUGGACCAAAAUGUGUUUGGGCCCCAUCAAACUGGGCAUCACCAGUGUUACCUGGAUUUAUCCAGGGCCAUCAUCCUUCUCUUCUCCCAUCCAAGAGAAGUUGGAAGUACAUGAAGAUUGCUGAUAUCUGCAUGCAGGGCUUAGGUCCUAAAUAUGGCAUAAUCAAGAUUAUCCACGGAGAUCCCUUAAGUUGCUCACCAGUGCUCUUAUGUAUACAACUUUCCUGGCUAAUUGUUAUGAUUUUCACUAAACUUUGAAAACCACAGAGAAAAACUGAAAGGAAGAACAGAGUGUUGACUGUUGAAACCUGGCUCCCAGAAAAUAACCUGUAAAACAAGCUGUGGAGAAGGCUAAGCUGUACUUCCUGUGCACAGUGAUAAGGGGAGAUCCUCCUUGUCAGACUACACAGCAACCAGAAAGGAAGACAAAUUGGGAUAUGCAUCAGGUUUCAAAACUGGCCUUGCAAUGGGUUUGGCCAAGGAUCAUGAUAAGAUUGUUUAGGAUCAGUGGACACAAGGUGAAGCUUUCAAAGAGUCUUAGAGAGUAAACAGUCGUUUUAAUGGUAUCUAUUGAAAAGUUUAUGGAUUUUAUGUUGAUUUCAGUGAGAACUGGGGGGAAGUUCUUAACAAUCAAAUUAUUUGCAAAUUUUAUCUCUCUGGUCAAGAGGUUUUUGGAAUAAAGACAGAGGAAUGAUAAAGUCUAUAAAUGUAGGCAGUAAACUCCACGGAUGUUAGUGGUUUCCCAGGUCUCAAUAUUAUGCAUAUAUCUUGCUUUCUAAAACAUUUCUGCCUCUAAGAUAAUUAUUAAUCUCUUGAAAGGCUGAUGGGGAAUGGAUGGUGAAUUGUAAAUCUGUUUUAUUUGAAGUGCAGUCCAUAAACCAAUGUUGAUCCAGAUCCUGUUAUUGGUCUGCAAAUAUAUAAAUACAGAAAUUGUGGUUUUAGAAACUUUGAGAGCAACUUAACAAUGCAAUUCUAUGUCUGUUUAAUCUAAGAAUUUAAAACUGGAAGCUUACAUUCUGAAAAUCUUCAUUUUAUUUUCUAAUAAUCCUUUUUUUAUGGCAUUUUACAAAAAUAUUUGUUUUUGCCAGAUUGGACCUUUACCAUACAUCCUUUGACAUGCACUGUUCUAAGUUGCUCCUGUUUGCUUAGAGUUCUUAUACUCUCUUUGGACAUAUGCUUUUAGAAUCUUUAUGGAUAUGAUUUGAUGUGGGUUUGGUGCAGAAGAUAAAGUGAAAUAAUACAUGGCAAAGUGCCUUACCCAGGGCCUGGUACCAAA
Molecule: long non-coding RNA, 1767 nt
Organism: Marmota monax (woodchuck)
Lineage: Eukaryota; Metazoa; Chordata; Mammalia; Rodentia; Sciuridae
Exons: 2
Source: RefSeq, a predicted model, not a curated record